RNAcentral lists this ribosomal RNA (442 nucleotides) under uncultured bacterium. Its description in RNAcentral is "partial 16S ribosomal RNA". It matches the Rfam family "Bacterial small subunit ribosomal RNA", at positions 339 to 795 of the family's 1533-position model. The record is from RNAcentral.
CCACGGGUGGCAGCAGUGGGGAAUAUUUCACAAUGGGCGAAAGCCUGAUGCAGCAACUGCCCCUUAAGGAAGACGGUUUUCGGAUUGGAAACUUCCAUCCAUAGGGAGGAAAGAAAUGACGGUACCUAAAUAAGAAGCCUCGGCUAACUACCGGCCAGCAGCCGCGGUAAUACGUAGGGGGCAACCGUUAUCCGGAAUUACUGGGGGUCAAGGGUGAGUAUGCGGGAACGUCAGGGAGAUGUGAAAGCCUUAGGCUUAACCAAGGGAUUGCAUCACGUACUACCUAGCUAGAGCACAGGAGAGGAGAGCGGAAUUCCUAGUGUAGCGGUGAAAUGCGUAGAGAUGAGGAAGAACACCAGUGGCGAAGGCGGCUUUCUGGACAAAAACUGACGCUGAGGCGCGAAAGCGUGGGGAGCGAACAGGAUUAGAUACCCUUGUAGUC